GUGCCAGCAGCCGCGGUAAUACGGGGGGAGCGAGCGUUAUUCGGAUUCACUGGGCGUAAAGGGUUCGUAGGCGGUCAAGUAAGUCAGGGGUGAAAUCUAACGGCUUAACCGUUAAACUGCCCUUGAAACCGCUUGACUUGAGGACAUGAGAGGAAAGCGGAAUUCUUGGUGUAGCGGUGAAAUGCGUGGAUAUCAAGAGGAACACCGGUGGCGAAGGCGGCUUUCUGGCAUGUUACUGACGCUGAGGAACGAAAGUCAGGGGAGCGAACGGGAUUAGAAACCCUAGUAGUCC
This 292-nucleotide ribosomal RNA is filed under the name uncultured bacterium. Its description in RNAcentral is "partial 16S ribosomal RNA". It matches the Rfam family "Bacterial small subunit ribosomal RNA", at positions 505 to 796 of the family's 1533-position model. The record is from RNAcentral.